RNAcentral lists this long non-coding RNA (4670 nucleotides) under Manihot esculenta (cassava). RNAcentral's name for it is "long non-coding RNA (MESC_LNC000605)". Lineage: Eukaryota; Viridiplantae; Streptophyta; Magnoliopsida; Malpighiales; Euphorbiaceae. The record is from RNAcentral.
CACCUCGUCAUGGGAGCUGAGGAGCUCAGUGAACCUGCCUCCAGGUAUUAUGAGGAUAUCGUAGGAUAAUUCUAUAUUUAGGUCCUCGUAGUUUGCAUUGAGAGGAAAAAAGUGGCCCGGCAGUUCUGUGUAGUGCUGCAAAGGUCAAACACCAGUCAAUUGCUGUCUUCAUUGCUGGGAUAUAGAAGAGUAAUGGAUUAAGAACAUUACCUCGAAGCCCAAGUAAUCAUGAAUGGCGGUGAAGCAUUUAUCACCGGAACGCUUGCCGGGAGAGGCACAAUCAACCCUGACACCGAAGGCUUGAAGCAUAAAGAAUGGCACAAUCACUUCGUAAUCUUCCAUGUAGUCUCCGCAUAGUAUGAGAGCUGAUUUUUGCACGGUGGAAGCCAUGGUUUCUAUCACUUCACUUGAAUCUGCGAGAUUGUGCAGUCAGGAUGAAGCUAUUUAUUGGCAGGAUAGAUGAGGUUUACAUUCACGUUUAAAAUUGCCCUCAACAACUUCAUCUACUUUAGAUCGCAAACAAAAACAAUAAGACAAACCAAAGAACUGUUCUAAAAUUCUAUAUUUUAAAAUCUUUUAUCUCAACUAAAAUUAUAUAAACUUUUCUUUCCAUUUAUAGAUAGUUUUUUUGUUAUUAAACUAUAAACUUUUCCUUCAAUUUAUAAAUAGUUUUUUUUGUUAUUAAAUUUGUAGAUGGAAAGUAAGAGCAGUGCAUAGAUUUAGACUGAAAAAUUAAUUUUAAUUUAAAUUUAUUGAUUUGACUAAUGCAUGCAAAUAAAUAUAGCGACAAAAUCUAUAUUAUUUAUUUAUUUAAUUUUUUAAACUUUAUUUAUAAAUGACUAUUUUAACUAAGUUAAAUCCUUUAUAACAUGUAGAUUUUUAUUUAAAUAUCUUAUAAUUCUUUUAAACAACUCUAACGAUCACUAUUUAUUUUUCUAAAUGCCUUCGACCUCUUUUUUUUAUAAUUAUAAAUAAAUUUUACUUUUAUAAUUUAGAAAUACGAUUACUUUUCUCUAAUUUUUUAUUUUAUCUUUUUUUUUUAUAAUUACAAACAAAUUUUAUUUUCACAAUUUAAAAAUACGAUUACUUUUCUCUACUCUUCUAUUUUAUCUUUCUGUUUUGUGUUAGAUUACGUUAAAAAAAUUUAUUAUUUUAAUUUAAAUUAUUUAAAAGAGUAUUUAAUUCUGGAAUUAUCAAUUAAUCUUUAACAAUAAUAGAAGGCAACAAGAAUCCUACUUUCAAAAAUAGAAUAGAUGUGUAGUUUGUAUCAUGGUUCCUUUGUGGUCCCAGCUAAUUAUUAUUUUUUUGUCGCAAAUUGAAAGUUGUUUGAAAUAAACCAUGCAAGAAAAUGUUUCAAACAGGACCAUCAGCAGCUGUAAAGCACCUUGAAGCAACUGUAGAAGCUGAUGAGCAUCAUAGAAGGCAUCAAAAUCUACGAGGUUGCCCAUGCAUGCAACGUCGAGAGUAUUUUAACUCCUAUAUAAUAGUAUUUAACUAUUAUUUGGGCUAUCAUCUUCAACAACCAAGAAUUACAUAUACAUUAUACACAAGUCAAAAGACAAAUAUCAUAAUAAAAUAUCUAAAUUUAACCUUUAGAAAUAUAAAAAUAGCUUAAAUUAAGUUAAUUCUAUGAAUUCCAGUCAAACAUAAAUUUUAAAUCAUGAUAUAUCAAUUAAUAUAUUAAUGUUAAUAAAUCAUCAGACGGUUAUUACCUAAAUUCGAUCUAUAAUAGAUCUAAAAUAAAAAUAAUUUAUAAAAAUUACAGGUUUAUUUAAUUAGUGGGGAAUAUUAUUUGGUAAACGGCAAUAAGGAUUAAAUAAAAUAAUAAUAAAUACUAUUUUAUAAUUAGGAAAAAAAUCAGAAAAUUUAAUUAGUGGCGAAUAUUAUUUAGUAAACGAAGACAUAAAGUAUUAAAAUAAAAAAUAAAAGUAAUAAAUUUUAUAAAUUAUUGAAAUUUCAAAUCCAUCAUAUAUGUAUACGUUAGUGACUUUAACUAUGGUAGUGAAUUCAGUGAUAUGCAUAAAAAAAUCUCUUUUUUUAGUUUGAGAACUGAAUUAUUAAUAAUGAAAUUGAAUUUGAAAAUUAUAUAUUAUAUUAAAUAAAAUAAUUAAUAUGGUAGUAAUUUUAUUUAUUUUUAAAUUUUUAUAAUGGCAAUUAUAAUUAGAAAUUAAAGUAAGAUUUAUAAAUUUUAACUCGGUAUAAAAAAAUUCAAAUCGUCGAGUAUAAAGCGGCAAGAAUACGCUAUUAUGUCCCUUAUGGUGCACCCUUAGCGGCCCACUACCUGACCAUAUUUCAGCCCAAUUCUCACGCCACCACUAUAAUUACCUACUAACCUUACUACGUUUUUGGUUGCCUGUUCCUCAGAUUAUUAUUAUUAUUAUUAAAAUACUUUUUAUCUAAACUUGAUUUAUUAUAAAUUUAAAAUGUAAUUACGCUAAGUUUUUUUUAUAUUAAAAAAUAUAAAAUUUACAUAUUUAUUUAUUAGGUCCAUGAUAAAAAAAAUUUUCUUCCUAUUAUAUGCCACCAAGUUAACUUUGGAUUUCUGGCAUUCUUCAAAUCUAAUUUUAAAUUGGACUUUGAUCAGCGUUCUGUUCUAAUCUCUCUUUAUAUUUCUUUUUAAUAUAAUUUUAAUUUAUAAUUAUUAUUCAAUUCGUAAUUUAAUUUUAAUUAGAAUUAUUAAGGAAAAAUGAUUACAAAGAGUUAUUCAAAGGUAUAUUAAUUAUUUAAAUUGAAAAUUUUAAUUUAUAUUUAUUGUGUUGAUAUGCAAUAAAAAUAAAUUUAAAUAAUUUAGAAAUAACAACGAGUAUUUUUAAAUAUUGGAUUUUAUUUAAUUUUAUUAAAAAUGAAUUUAAUUAGUGUAUAAUUGAAUUUAAAAUUUAAUAUUUGUGAUGGAUUUGGAUUUUAUAUAUUAAAUAUUAAUUAUUCAAACAAUUUAUAUAUAUAAAUAAAUAGUUUAAUAUGCAUAUAUAUUUUUUGAAAAUUAUUUAAUUUUUUAUAAGCAAUAUUAAUUUAAAAUAAAAAUUAUUAAUAAAAAUGUUUUAUACAAAUUAUUAAUUAAAAUUAUAAAUUAAAUGAGUUUGCACAUUAUUUUAAUAAUAAUAAUCGAAUUUAAAAUUAAUUGAUUAAUUUAUAAAAAAAUUUAAUUGAAUUUGAGAUACAAUAUUAAUCGAAUUUAGAUAAAUAAAAUAAUAUUCAUGUAAUCUAUCCAUUUACAUCCUAAAAGAAAUUUCCCAACUUAUAAACUUUUAAUAUAAUUAUAAAAAGCCAAGAAACUUCUCAACGAUCCUCUUUCAAAGAGGAGUGAAUAUAAGAACCGUACGUAUGAUUUCAUUUGAUUCUGAAACCGUUUCAAAUGUUACAUCCUUUAUUCAACAUUGCACAAAUACAAGGGAAACCAAAGCUAGCCUUUCCCAUUUCAGAACACCACAGACAAGCCAAGGGCUCUAGUCAACUCUGUUAAAAAGGCUGGAAGAGCAGGCCAUCCACUAGCAGUCACUAGGUUGCCGUGCCUCACACACCCUUCAGACUCCACCACUUCCCCACCACCCACCUUUACAAUGGCCUUCAUUCCAUGGCUGCUUGCGCAUCUCUUUCCCUGAUUAAUCAAACAACUACUCAUUACUAAAUUCUCAAUCAACAAAUAUGUAUAAUUGGUGGCAAUUCAUUAAUCAAUUAAGUACCUUUAGAGUACCGGCAGCAGCCAGAAGCCACUUCCCUUGUCCAAUUGCUGCAACGAUCUUGCCCCUGUCAGCGAAUUCCUUGAUCAAAGAAACCACUUUCUCAUUUAUGACCAGCAACUCCGGGGACCUGCCUCCAGGCAACACCAAGCAGUCAUAGUCAUCAACGGAAAUGUCACUCCAGUUAGCGUUAACUACGAAGUUGUGGCCCCGCUUUUCGCUGCAUACUAGGGCUCCCUCGUCGUCCUGGAUGGCGGUAACGCAGCUCUCCCCCUUUUUCUUGCUUGGGCAAACUGCAUCAACCUUGCAGCCCAGACCUUGUAGAGCCCGGAAUGGUACAUUUACCUCGUAAUCUUCUACAUAAUCCUAUAAAACACAAGUUAUAUUAUGAAUUGCAAUUGUAGGCAGGCUAUUUACUGAUUUCUAUCCUACAAAAUUUUGGCUAGCUUACCGCUAACACAACCAGUACUGAAUUCAUGUGGGAUCUUGAAAUUUUGGCUCCCAUGGACUCAAGUAGAACUCUCAUAUAUUCACCGUGUCCUGGCCACCCAAUAGAACUAACAAGAUUGCCGUCCUUAAGACAAGCAGUAAUGUCAAGAACCGAUUCUACACCAGGCUGCUCCCACCAGGUGCCUCCUGCAAGCUCAAUGAUGGGUUUCAAGCUGGUAAAAGCAGUGCAUCGCUUGCCUUGGAGGAGUCCUGCUGCUGCCAACAUGAGUUGGCUAUGGCAGCUUGUGAUUAAAGGCUUCCCUGUUUCUGCAAAUCUUCUUACCAUACUGAUCACCUUGUCAUCAGCGCUGAGGAUCUCAGUAAACCUGCCUCCAGGUAUUAUGAGUGUAUCAUACGAUUCUACAGUUUCGUCCUCGUAGUUUGCGUUGAGUGUGAAGAAAUGGCCCUGUAAUUCUGUAUAUAGCUGCAAAUUUAAAACACCCAUGAAUUGGCUACCUUUGUUGUUGGGAUAUAGAAGGAUUAUGGAUUAAGAACAUUACCUCA